Molecule: long non-coding RNA, 1243 nt
Filed under: Gadus morhua (Atlantic cod)
Lineage: Eukaryota; Metazoa; Chordata; Actinopteri; Gadiformes; Gadidae
Description: lncRNA (ENSGMOG00000031850.1)
Source: RNAcentral
AUUUGAGCUGUCCUCACAGGUAGGCUGCUUAACGCAUUAGUGGAUGAACUGCAUUCCAAUGUCCACACAAAGACAAUGCAAUAUAAAACUACAAGGAAGAACACAACCAUCUGAAUCACUUCCACGUAGCUGGGCACAUUUGGUUGGUUUUAUUGGAAGUUCAUUUUUUUCCGUCCAGGUGUCACUUCAACAAACACACACAAUCAACCAGCUCAGCUGUCAUCAAUCACAUGAUGGCUGUGUGCAGACUUUUUUUUGGUUUAAAGAAAUAUCGAUUGUGAGGGACGUUACCUAAUACUUUUGUGAAGAACACAACAUAUAACACGUUGAGGAGAAGAUAAAGAAAUUAACUAGAGAGAGGGUGAAACGCAGGGCUUGUUGAAGGUGACCCACAUACAUAUAUAUACGAAGCGGCUGCUGCUGUGAGCGAAAGAUAUCGAACAGCUAAUUGCUAAAAUAAGCGUAUGACCUAGAAAAUUGGCCUUAGUCGGACAUAAGGAAGAGAGUGUAGUAGCCGUAGAAGAGGAUGACGAUGCUUGAGAAGAGGCCAGCCGCACUUGGGACCACGGAGCACAUCGAGAUGGAGAUCUUCGCCUCGGAAGAGUCUCGCGCCGUGGUCUCCGUACAUGAUACCGAGGAGGGCUACUUCGGCUACUAUAGGCACCUAGAGCAUCCUCUGGUGUCCGUUUCUGAAGAGGAGUACCUAGAGGCCCAGGUCCAGAGCCCAGCUGAACAGCAAUUCAAGCUGAAGAGAGUGCUUUCUGUCGGGACAGAGGACUUGGAUGACUGCCCCCUGAUUCCAGACUUAAAGGAGGACAUGGAGAUUGAAAUGGAGGAAUUCCCUCCCUUCAACACGCCCGAGAGUGAGCAAGUAUUAAAAACAUCAGCCCUCCCUUCCUUCAAAACACUACCGUUUCCCGCCGUGGCUUCUCUCAACCAAGUCACCAAAGUCAAAUGGAGCCAAGUAGACCAUCAGAGGACUGGACUGGUAGUUAAAGACGUCAUCUGUCUACCCAGAGGACACCUCCUGGCCCAUCCCGACCGGACUCCACGAGGCAAAGAGAAGGCGGCGAUGGCUACCAUGGGAAUGACCGCGCGCAUCACUAUCGACUGCGGGUGGUCCACCAGGGAGAUGGCAAGUAGGCUGGUGAGCCACUUCCAUGGACGAUUAGGACGAAGGUCUUCUUUUGCUUACCUUCAGAAAGAACUUUCCUCUGGGGGUUGCCAUGGAAAGAUGUGGUGA